This is a long non-coding RNA of Apis florea (little honeybee), 481 nucleotides long. The record is from RefSeq and is a predicted model, not a curated record. NCBI's taxonomy places the organism in Eukaryota, Metazoa, Arthropoda, Insecta, Hymenoptera, Apidae.
CUCUCCACGCGAGGACCCGAAAUUAAUAACGCGGCCUGGCGCAAAUACGGCGCACAUAAUUAAAGCGAUAUUACGAUCCGGGACACCGGAUGGCGCUGUAUCGUCUAACAACCGGCUCACUCUCCGCGUCCCUGUUAUUUACCACUCCUCACCGGUGCUACGCCAUUCAAGAUGUGUACAUUUUGAUUACCCAUCUACGCAAACUGUUUGCGAACAGUCAGCUGAUUUGUGUCAAUAUUCCUAGUCGUGAUCAAGCAGGUUAAUAAGUACUAACUAUUCAUAAGAGGAAUAUCAAGUGGAUUAAAACUUUCUCCUUUGAGGAUCGAGCUCAUUCUCGACAGACACCCGGCUGCAUUACCAUUCAGGGCCAAUCACGGAGCAAACUAACCGUCUUCUCAAACAUUAAAGGAAACGUAGAGUGAAAUUCAAAGGGCGGGUUUCUUUAUAACGUGAUAAUUUUGUAAAGUAGCGGAACGGUGUA